UUAUUUGUCUUUGCAAACUAAGUUUUGUUAUAAUGGAAUUUCUUUUGAAGUUGUUGUUUAACUAUUUUGUGUUAAUUGUUGCUAUUGUAGGUGCUCAUGUUGGGAAUGCACAAGACUUACCACCAUGCUGCGCGCAUCCUGGUCUUGAAUGUCAACCAAUUCAUUGUCCUAAACUCCCAUGUUGCAAACCUUCUACGCCUCCUAAUAGUGAUACAAAGCUUUGAAAUUUCUCAUAUCGUUUUUCCUACUGUUAAACCAAUCAAUUGUAUUUGAGAUAACUUUAUGAGUUUUAGUUAAUUAUUAAUAAGAUUGGUUAAUAAAUUAUGUUCUCUUAUUCUCUACUAAUGUUUGCCAAGGAAUUAACUCUUUAUUGAGUAUAAUUAUAUCUUCAUUAUAAUGGAUUCAUAUAUGUUAUGUUGAACUGCUUGUCGAUUACAUCAAUCAUCAAUUGAGUAAAACUAAAAAAUUGUUUUUAAAGAAACUGUUUAACGAAAAAAUAGUUUAACACGUAAUGAUUUAAAUAAAAAUAAUUUUUUAAACAAUUUAAGAAAUGGAAAAAAAACAUUUCCUAAAACUUGAAGUUAUUAAAAUAUUAUAAUGUUUCAUAAAAAAAUGUAUUUUCAUCUUUUUUUUUGGUAUCGAGGACAAAUAUGUAGCAUUGAGCUAAAUACAUUUUUUUACCAGCCAAUAUUAAUCUUCAUAUCUUAACAAAACUGAUUUUACAUAUAAUCAUAUAAAAUUUAUAUAUACAGUUGUUGUAAUUUAUUAAAUGUUAAAAUCUAAACAGUAGUAAUAAACUAUUUAAAUUAACCGCUUAUAUUAUUUUGUCUAAUAUUAUUUUUUCCUUUAUUUUUUAUUAUUAAAUUUUAAGUAGAAACCAAAUCUUUAAAUACAUACAUUUAAAAUUUAAAUUUAAAUAAUUGAUUAUAAAUUAUUUAGGCCUUUGGGUAUAUAAUAUAAAAUUAGUUAUAGAUAAACAUAGGGAACGCACACUUAUGAUAUCAUUUAAAUAAUGUUUUGAAUGUUUAUAAAAAUAUAUUUUGAAUUAUAUUUUGAUAAACUUGUAGAAUACUUACUCAUUGUUUAAAUUUAUAAAAAAAAAAUAUUUGUCGAAGGAAUAAUAAACAUAAUGUUAAAAUAUCGAUGAUAAUAAUAAACUAGAGUAUAUAUUUGGAUCAAAAACAUUCCCCCGUGUGGGUUUUCUAAUUAAGAUGAGGAUAAAUUUUUUUCGUAUAAGAAUAACAUAAAAAAAUGACUUAAAAUCAAAAAUUAGCUUUUCCUUUGAUGUAUGAACAAUAGUUUUAGAUAUACAACUAUGAAUUUUAAACUUAUGGAUUACGGAGCUCCCUGUCUAGAAAUACAACAUAUACCACGAUGUUUCAUAAGUAAACCUCUUAUUAAUUUAACAUGAAAAACAUGUGAUCCAUAUCUAUACUAGUAGACAGUUUGGUUCCUCAUUUUUAGGGUUACACAAAAUUGUUUUUGAAUAUUUAUAAAAUAUUAACUAAAAGAAAAUAAAAGAUACUAGUUUUCCAAUAAUAAGGUGUUUGUUUUAUCGAUAUGAAAGAACACUUUUAACGGGCUUCUUAAUUUUCUCUGACUAUUAACUAGAAAUUGGUCAAUUUGGUUAAGAACAUAAGUUUUGAAGAAUUUCUUAAAGGUUUUAAUUGAUUUUGAUAAUUUUGACAGUAAAUAUGUAAUAUGUUAAGAUGAAUACAAAAUAGAAUUAAUAAUAUUGAAUAAGACAGGGUUUCAGGUUUUAAAAAGAUUAAANAUUUAUUAAUAAGAUUGGUUAAUAAAUUAUGGUCUCUUAUUCUCUACUAAUGUUUGCCAAGGAAUUAAACUCUUUAUUGAGUAUAAUUAUAUCUUCAUUAUAAUGGAUUCAUAUAUGUUAUGUUGAAAUGCUUGUCGAUUACAUCAAUCAUCAAUUGAGUAAAACAAAAAAAUUGUUUUUAAAGAAACUGUUUUAACGAUAAAAUAGUUUACCACGUAAUGAUUUAAAUAAAAAUAAUUUUUUAAACAAUUUAAGAAUUGGAAAAAAAACAUUUCCUAAAACUUGAAGUUAUUAAAAUAUUAUAAUGUUUCAUAAAAAAAUGUAUUUGGUAUCGAGGACAAAUACGUAGCAUUGAGCUAAAUACAUUUUUUUACCAACCAAUAUUAAUCUUCAUAUCUUAACAAAACUGAUUUUACAUAUAAUCAUAUAAAAUUUAUAUAUACAGUUGUUGUAAUUUAUUAAAUGUUAAAAUCUAAACGGUAGUAAUAAACUAUUUAAAUUAAACGCUUAUAUUAUUUUGUCUAAUAUAAUUUUUUCCCUUUAUUUUUUAUUAUUAAAUUUUAAGUAGAAACCAAAUCUUUANAAAAAGAGAGAGAUACUUCUACUGUUAAACAAUCAAUUUGUAUUGAAGAUAACUUUACAUGAGUUUUAUUAUUAUUAAUAAGAUUGGUAUAUAAAUUAUGGUCUCUUAUUCUCUUACUAAGUUUGCCAAGGAAUUAAACUCUUAUUGAAGUAUAUUAUAUCUUUCAUUAUAUGGAUUCAUCUUGUUAAGUUGAACUGCUUGUCGAUUACAUCAUAUCAAUUGAGUAAACUAAAAAUUGUUUUAAGAAACUGUUUUAACGUAAAACUAGUUUACCAGUAAUGAUUUAAAUAAAAUAAUUUUUAAUCAUUUAAGAUUGGAAAAAAAACAUUUCCUAAAACUUAGUUAUUAAAAUAUUAAUGUUCAUAAAAAAUGUAUUUUCAUCUUUUUAUUUGGUAUCGAGGACAAAUACGUAGCAUUGAGCUAAAUACAUUUUUUACCAACCAAUAUUAAUCUUCAUAUCUUAACAAACUGAUUUACAUAUAAUUAUAUAUACAGUUGUUGUAAUUUAUUAAAUGUUAAAAUCUAAACAGUAGUAUAAACUAUUUAAAUUAAACGCUUAUAUUAUUUGUCUAAUAUAAUUUUUCCCUUAUUUUUAUUAUUAAUUUUAAGUAGAAACCAAUCUUUAAAUACAUAUAUUUAAAUUUAAUUUAAAUAAUUGAUUAUAAAUUAUUUAGCCUUUGUUAUAAUAUAAAUUAGUUAUAGAUAAACAUAGGGAACGCACACUUAUGAUAUCAUUUAUUAAUGUUUGAAUGUUAAAAAUAUAUUUGAAUUAUAUUUGAUAAACUUGUAGAAUACUUACUCAUUGUUUAAAUUUAUAAAAAAAAAUAUUUGUCGAAGGAAUAAUAAACAUAAUGUUAAAUAUCGAUGAUAUAAUAAACUAGAGUAUAUAUUUGGAUCAAAACAUUCCCCGUGUGGGUUUUCUAAUUAAGAUGAGGAUAAAUUUUUUUCGUAUAAGAAUAACAUAAAAAAUGACUUAAAAUCAAAAUUAGCUUUCUUUGAUGUAUGAACAAUGUUUUAGAAUAUACAUAUGAAUUUAAACUUAGGAUUACGGAGCUCCCUGUCUAGAAAUACACAAUAUACCACGAUGUUUCAUAAGUAAACCUCUUAUUAAUUUAACAUGAAAACAUGUGAUCCAUAUCUAUACUAGUAGACAGUUUGGUUCCUCAUUUUAGGGUUACACAAAAUUGUUUUUGAAUAUUUAUAAAAUAUAACUAAAAGAAAUAAAAGAUCUAGUUUUCCAAUAAUAAGGUAUUUGUUUUAUCGAUAUGAAAGACACUUUUAACGGGCUUCUUAAUUUUCUCUGACUAUUAACUAGAAAUUGGUCAUUUGGUUAAGAACAUAAGUUUUGAAGAAUUUCUUAAGGUUUUAAUUGAUUUUGAUAAUUUUGACAGUAAAUAUGUAAUAUGUUAAGAUGAAUACAAAAUAGAAUUAAUAAUAUUGAAUAAGACAGGGUUUCAGGUUUUAAAAGAUUAAACUUUCUCACAAUUAUGUUAUCAACCAUUAAAUAAAUAGAUGUCUUUUUUUUCUUCAUAUUUUAAAGUAAAUUACUUUUUCGAAGACACUAUGAUUUAUUUUAGUGAGGGCGUAAUUUCUCUGAUACAAACUAAUUUUAAUUGACUUUUAAUAUAUAGUAAAAAAAUUUAUAUAAUUAUACACCAUAAAUUUUUUGUUAAAUACAAAAUAUCUAUCAAAUAGUGAAAUUGUUUGAAUAGGCGAAAAAAACAUAGAUAAUAGUUAGUCAAGAAAAAAAGUGAAGUCAAUGGAAAAAAAAGUUAGUCAUUGUUACAGAAAUAUAUUGUUAAAAAUUAAUUUUAGUAAGUCUAAAUGCAUAUAUAUUUAAAAAUUGAAAUUCUAGAACGCUCUAUUUUAUUUCCUAUAAAUAAAAAAAAUGUACAUAUUUUAUUCCAAAUAAAACUCAAUAUCAGAUAUCCAUUUUAUUGUCUUUGAAAACUAAGUUUUGUUAUAAGGAAUCUCUUUUGAAGUUGUUGUUUAAGUAUUUUGUGUUAAUUGUUGCUAUUGUAGGUGCUCAUGUUGGGAAUGCACAAACUUACCACCAUGCUGCGCACAUCCUGGUUUGAUAUGUCAACCAAUUCAUUGUCCUAAACUCCCAUGUUGCAAACCUUUACACCUCCUAAUAGUGAUACAAAGCUUUGAAAUUUCUCAUUUCGUUUAUUCCUACUGUUAAACCAAUCAUUUGUAUUUGAGAUAACUUUACAUGAGUUUUAGUUAAUUUAUUAAUAAGAUUGGUUAAUAAAUUAUGGUCUCUUAUUC
RNAcentral lists this long non-coding RNA (4628 nucleotides) under Lathyrus oleraceus (garden pea). RNAcentral describes it as "Pisum sativum (pea) long non-coding RNA (PSAT_LNC039993)". The record is from RNAcentral. Lineage: Eukaryota; Viridiplantae; Streptophyta; Magnoliopsida; Fabales; Fabaceae.